Molecule: small nuclear RNA, 116 nt
Organism: Aotus nancymaae (Ma's night monkey)
Lineage: Eukaryota; Metazoa; Chordata; Mammalia; Primates; Aotidae
Gene: U5
Rfam family: U5 spliceosomal RNA
About the family: U5 RNA is a component of both types of known spliceosome. The precise function of this molecule is unknown, though it is known that the 5' loop is required for splice site selection and p220 binding, and that both the 3' stem-loop and the Sm site are important for Sm protein binding and cap methylation.
Source: Ensembl
AUACUCUGGUUUCUCUUCAAAUUGUAUAAAUCUUUUGCCUUUUACAAAAGAUUUCUGUGGAGAGGGAAAAUUCUGAGUUUUAGUCCAAUUUUUUGAGGCCCUGUUUCUGCUGGGCU